UGAGGAAUAUUGGUCAAUGGGCGAGAGCCUGAACCAGCCAAGUAGCGUGCAGGACGACGGCCCUAUGGGUUGUAAACUGCUUUUAUAAGGGAAUAAAGUGAGUCUCGUGAGACUUUUUGCAUGUACCUUAUGAAUAAGGACCGGCUAAUUCCGUGCCAGCAGCCGCGGUAAUACGGAAGGUCCGGGCGUUAUCCGGAUUUAUUGGGUUUAAAGGGAGCGUAGGCCGGAGAUUAAGCGUGUUGUGAAAUGUAGACGCUCAACGUCUGCACUGCAGCGCGAACUGGUUUCCUUGAGUACGCACAAAGUGGGCGGAAUUCGUGGUGUAGCGGUGAAAUGCUUAGAUAUCACGAAGAACUCCGAUUGCGAAGGCAGCUCACUGGAGCGCAACUGACGCUGAAGCUCGAAAGUGCGGGUAUCGAACAGGAUUAGAUACCCUGGUAGUCCGCACGGUAAACGAUGGAUGCCCGCUGUUGGCCUGAAUAGGUCAGCGGCCAAGCGAAAGCAUUAAGCAUCCCACCUGGGGAGUACGCCGGCAACGGUGAAACUCAAAGGAAUUGACGGGGGCCCGCACAAGCGGAGGAACAUGUGGUUUAAUUCGAUGAUACGCGAGGAACCUUACCCGGGCUUGAAUUGCAGAGGAAGGAUUUGGAGACAAUGACGCCCUUCGGGGCCUCUGUGAAGGUGCUGCAUGGUUGUCGUCAGCUCGUGCCGUGAGGUGUCGGCUUAAGUGCCAUAACGAGCGCAACCCCUCUCCUUAGUUGCCAUCAGGUCAUGCUGGGCACUCUGGGGACACUGCCACCGUAAGGUGUGAGGAAGGUGGGGAUGACGUCAAAUCAGCACGGCCCUUACGUCCGGGGCUACACACGUGUUACAAUGGCAGGUACAGAGAGACGGUCCCUUGCAAAAGGGAUCAAAUCCUCAAAGCCUGUCUCAGUUCGGACUGGGGUCUGCAACCCGACCCCACGAAGCUGGAUUCGCUAGUAAUCGCGCAUCAGCCAUGGCGCGGUGAAUACGUUCCC
This 1019-nucleotide ribosomal RNA is filed under the name uncultured bacterium. Its description in RNAcentral is "bacterial SSU rRNA". It matches the Rfam family "Bacterial small subunit ribosomal RNA", at positions 355 to 1375 of the family's 1533-position model. The record is from RNAcentral.